UAGGGAAUAUUGGGCAAUGGAGGCAACUCUGACCCAGCCAUGCCGCGUGCAGGAUGAAGGCCUUCUGGGUUGUAAACUGCUUUUAUCUAGGAAGAAAAUACUCUUGCGAGAGGAACUGACGGUACUAGAUGAAUAAGCACCGGCUAACUCCGUGCCAGCAGCCGCGGUAAUACGGAGGGUGCAAGCGUUGUCCGGAUUUAUUGGGUUUAAAGGGUGCGUAGGCGGCUUCAUAAGUCCGUGGUGAAAGCCAACAGCUCAACUGUUGAACUGCCAUGGAUACUGUGAGGCUUGAGUACAGACGAGGUAGGCGGAAUGGAUCGUGUAGCGGUGAAAUGCAUAGAUACGAUCCAGAACUCCGAUUGCGAAGGCAGCUUACUAGGCUGUAACUGACGCUGAGGCACGAAAGCGUGGGGAGCGAACAGG
RNAcentral lists this ribosomal RNA (423 nucleotides) under uncultured bacterium. RNAcentral's name for it is "bacterial SSU rRNA". It matches the Rfam family "Bacterial small subunit ribosomal RNA", at positions 355 to 776 of the family's 1533-position model. The record is from RNAcentral.